CCUACGGGACGCAGCCGUAGGGUAUCUUCCACAAUUUUUGAAGGUCUGAUGGAGCAACGCCGCGUGAGUGAAGAAGGGUUUCGGCUCGUAAAGCUCUGUUGGUAGUGAAGAAAGAUAGAGGUAGUAACUGGCCUUUAUUUGACGGUAAUUACUUAGAAAGUCACGGCUAACUACGUGCCAGCAGGCGCGGUAAUACGUAGGUGGCAAGCGUUGUCCGGAUUUAUUGGGCGUAAAGAGAGUGGAGGCGGUUCAAAAA
This 256-nucleotide ribosomal RNA is filed under the name uncultured bacterium. Its description in RNAcentral is "partial 16S ribosomal RNA". It matches the Rfam family "Bacterial small subunit ribosomal RNA", at positions 338 to 586 of the family's 1533-position model. The record is from RNAcentral.